This 224-nucleotide ribosomal RNA is filed under the name uncultured bacterium. RNAcentral describes it as "partial 16S ribosomal RNA". It matches the Rfam family "Bacterial small subunit ribosomal RNA", at positions 116 to 334 of the family's 1533-position model. The record is from RNAcentral.
CGUGGGUAACUACCCAUCAGAGGGGGAUAACACUUGGAAACAGGUGCUAAUACCGCAUAACAGUUUAUGCCGCACGGCAUAAGAGUGAAAGGCGCUUUCGGGUGUCGCUGAUGGAUGGACCCGCGGUGCAUUAGCUAGUUGGUGAGGUAACGGCUCACCAAGGCCACGAUGCAUAGCCGACCUGAGAGGGUGAUCGGCCACACUGGGACUGAGACACGGCCCAG